This 347-nucleotide ribosomal RNA is filed under the name uncultured fungus. RNAcentral describes it as "SSU rRNA". It matches the Rfam family "Eukaryotic small subunit ribosomal RNA", at positions 20 to 371 of the family's 1831-position model. The record is from RNAcentral. Lineage: Eukaryota; Fungi.
GUAGUCAUAUGCUUGUCUCAAAGAUUAAGCCAUGCAUGUCUAAGUAUAAGCAAUUAUACAGCGAAACUGCGAAUGGCUCAUUAAGUCAGUUAUCAUUUAUUUGAUAGUACCUUACUACAUGGAUAACCGUGGUAAUUCUAGAGCUAAUACAUGCUAAAAAUCCCGACUUCGGAAGGGAUGUAUUUAUUAGAUUAAAAACCAAUGCCCUUCGGGGCUCUCUGGUGAUUCAUAAUAACUUCUCGAAUCGCACGGCCUUGCGCUGGCGAUGGCUCAUUCAAAGUUCUGCCCUAUCAACUUUCGACGGCUGGGUCUUGGCCAGCCAUGGUGACAACGGGUAACGGGGAAUA